Long non-coding RNA from Hemicordylus capensis (graceful crag lizard), 617 nucleotides. RefSeq lists it as uncharacterized. The transcript is spliced from 3 exons. The record is from RefSeq and is a predicted model, not a curated record. Lineage: Eukaryota; Metazoa; Chordata; Lepidosauria; Squamata; Cordylidae.
CGCACCCAGGAGAAUUGGUUGUCAUGGCAGUGGCCCGGCCGUGGAGGCCAGAGGUGGUGGGCCCAGCCCGGCCAUGGAGGCAAGGCCCUGGAGGGAAGAAAGAAAAUGAGGGGUUGGAGCAGAAUGACAGGAGGACCAGGUCCUGCGACCUAUGGAAGGCUGAAGCCAUCUUGGGCAGGACAUUAGAAUCCAGGAUCAAGGUGACAGAAUCUGGAGAGAGAACACAAAACCUUGGAUUGUUGGACAGGGACUGGAAACCCGUCUAGCUGAGGGCCUUUCUCCCUCUGGAUAUAGGAAGAAAUGGAACUUCGGUCUUACUGGAAAUCAUUUUUGAAGAACUGUAUCAUUUUUCAGAGGUCAUGUCACUUAACAGCAGUUAAAUUCAGUUAAGUUAGGCCAAAGCAAAAUAAAUAAAUAAAUGAGACUUCUUGGAAUGCAGAGUAGUUGCUGUUCAGGAUGUCUGUGAUGAACUGACUGAAAGGCAUGUGAAAGUAAAAAUAUCUUUUCUGCAUAAUUGAAGUUCUGUGUUCUUGGAACUCUACUGUACUGGCAUCUUUCCAGACAUUUUCUUUAAUAAAUUUUGCAAGACAGAACUGUCAUCAUAUAAGCCAUUUAAC